Non-coding RNA from Salvelinus sp. IW2-2015, 141 nucleotides. Lineage: Eukaryota; Metazoa; Chordata; Actinopteri; Salmoniformes; Salmonidae. The record is from RefSeq and is a predicted model, not a curated record.
CCCUAGCAGGCAGCUUAUGUACAGUAUAUAUCACUGAUCAUGAUAUCUAUUCUGCUCUUGCUUUGGACGCUUGCUGCAUGCAGAGGCCUAUGAAGAGGAAGUCGAGGAAGGAGAACAAGAUGAGGAGAAGCCCAAGUUCAA